AACCCAUGGUAGGGGCAUCUUCUCAAAAUGUCCUUGUAUCUCUCCCAUGCAUCGUAAAGUGUUUCUAAAUCCAUUGGCACAAAAGAAGAGAUAUCAUUACGUAAUUU
This is a non-coding RNA of Gossypium hirsutum (cotton), 107 nucleotides long. NCBI's taxonomy places the organism in Eukaryota, Viridiplantae, Streptophyta, Magnoliopsida, Malvales, Malvaceae. The record is from Rfam.